Long non-coding RNA from Oncorhynchus keta (chum salmon), 2844 nucleotides. RefSeq lists it as uncharacterized. The transcript is spliced from 4 exons. The record is from RefSeq and is a predicted model, not a curated record. Lineage: Eukaryota; Metazoa; Chordata; Actinopteri; Salmoniformes; Salmonidae.
CUUGUUGUUUCUAAGGCAUGGAGCUUGUUGUGUCUAGGGCAUGGAGCUUGUUGUUUCUAAGGUAUGGAGCUUGUUGUUUCUAAGGCAUGGAGCUUGUUGUGUCUAGGGAAUGGAGCUUGUUUUUUCUAGGGAAUGGAGCUUGUUGUUUCUAGGGAAUGGAGCUUGUUGUUUCUAGGGCAUGGAGCUUGUUGUUUCUAGGGAAUGGAGCCUGUUGUUUCUAGGGCAUGGAGCUUGUUGUGUCUAGGGCAUGGAGCUUGUUGUGUCUAGGUCAUGGAGCUUGUUGUGUCUAGGGCAUGGAGCUUGUUGUGUCUAAGGUAUGGAGCUUGUUGUUUCUAGGUCAUGGAGCUUGUUGUGUCUACGGUAUGGAGCUUGUUGUUUCCAAGGCAUGGAGCUUGUUGUGUCUAGGGAAUGGAGCUUGUUGUGUCUAGGGAAUGGAGCUUGUUGUGUCUAGAUCAUAGAGCUUGUUGUUUCUAGGUCAUGGAGCUUGUUGUGUCUAAGGUAUGGAGCUUGUUGUUUCUAAGGCAUGGAGCUUGUUGUGUCUAGGGAAUGGAGCUUGUUGUGUCUAGGUCAUGGAGCUUGUUGUGUCUAGGUCAUGGAGCUUGUUGUGUCUAUGCCAUGGAGCUUGUUGUGUCUAGGGCAUGGAGUCUGUUGUGUCUAGGGCAUGGAGCUUCUUGUGUCUAGGGAAUGGAGCUUGUUGUGUCUAGGGAAUGGAGCUUGUUGUUUCUAAGGCAUGGAGCUUGUUGUGUCUAGGGAAUGGAGCUUGUUGUUUCUAAGGCAUGGAGCUUGUUGUGUCUAAGGUCAUGGAGCUUGUUGUUUCUAAGGCAUGGAGCUUGUUGUGUCUAGGGCAUGGAGCUUGUUGUUUCUAAGGCAUGGAGCUUGUUGUGUCUAGGUCAUGGAGCUUGUUGUGUCUAGGGAAUGGAGCUUGUUGUUUCUAAGGCAUGGAGCUUGUUGUGUCUAGGUCAUGGAGCUUGUUGUGUCUAGGGCAUGGAGCUUGUUGUGUCUAAGGUCAUGGAGCUUGUUGUUUCUAAGGCAUGGAGCUUGUUGUUUCUAAGGCAUGGAGCUUGUUGUGUCUAGGUCAUGGAGCUUGUUGUUUCUAGGGAAUGGAGCUUGUUGUUUCUAAGGUAUGGAGCUUGUUGUGUCUAGGUCAUGGAGCCUGUUGUUUCUAAGGCAUGGAGCUUGUUGUGUCUAAGGUCAUGGAGCUUGUUGUUUCUAAGGCAUGGAGCUUGUUGUGUCUAGGGCAUGGAGCUUGUUGUUUCUAAGGCAUGGAGCUUGUUGUGUCUAGGUCAUGGAGCUUGUUGUGUCUAGGUCAUGGAGCUUGUUGUUUCUAGGGAAUGGAGCUUGUUGUUUCUAAGGUAUGGAGCUUGUUGUGUCUAGGUCAUGGAGCCUGUUGUUUCUAAGGCAUGGAGCUUGUUGUGUCUAGGGCAUGGAGCUUGUUGUUUCUAAGGCAUGGAGCUUGUUUUGUUCUAGGUCAUGGAGCUUGUUGUGUCUAGGGAAUGGAGCUUGUUGUUUCUAAGGCAUGGAGCUUGUUGUGUCUAGGUCAUGGAGCUUGUUGUGUCUAGGGAAUGGAGCUUGUUGUUUCUAAGGCAUGGAGCUUGUUGUGUCUAGGUCAUGGAGCUUGUUGUUUCUAGGGAAUGGAGCUUGUUGUUUCUAAGGUAUGGAGCUUGUUGUGUCUAGGUCAUGGAGCCUGUUGUUUCUAAGGCAUGGAGCUUGUUGUGUCUAAGGUCAUGGAGCUUGUUGUUUCUAAGGCAUGGAGCUUGUUGUGUCUAGGGCAUGGAGCUUGUUGUUUCUAAGGCAUGGAGCUUGUUGUGUCUAGGUCAUGGAGCUUGUUGUGUCUAGGGAAUGGAGCUUGUUGUGUCUAGGGCAUGGAGCUUGUUGUGUCUAAGGUCAUGGAGCUUGUUGUUUCUAAGGCAUGGAGCUUGUUGUGUCUAGGUCAUGGAGCUUGUUGUUUCUAAGGCAUGGAGCUUGUUGUGUCUAGGGCAUGGAGCUUGUUGUUUCUAAGGCAUGGAGCUUGUUGUGUCUAGAUGAUGGAGCUUGUUGUGUCUAGGGAAUGGAGCUUGUUGUUUCUAAGGCAUGGAGCUUGUUGUGUCUAGGUCAUGGAGCUUGUUGUUUCUAGGGAAUGGAGCUUGUUGUUUCUAAGGUAUGGAGCUUGUUGUGUCUAGGUCAUGGAGCUUGUUGUGUCUAGGUCAUGGAGCUUGUUGUGUCUAGGUCAUGGAGCUUGUUGUGUCUAGGGAAUGGAGCUUGUUGUGUCUAGGGAAUGGAGCUUGUUGUGUCUAGGUCAUGGAGCUUGUUGUGUCUAGGGAAUGGAGCUUGUUGUGUCUAGGGAAUGGAGCUUGUUGUGUCUAGGUCACGGAGCUUGUUGUGUCUAGGUCAUGGAGCUUGUUGUGUCUAGGGAAUGGAGCUUGUUGUGUCUAGGGAAUGGAGCUUGUUGUGUCUAGGUCAUGGAGCUUGUUGUGUCUAGGGAAUGGAGCUUGUUGUGUCUAGGGAAUGGAGCUUGUUGUGUCUAGGUCAUGGAGCUUGUUGUGUCUAGGGAAUGGAGCUUGUUGUGUCUAGGGAACGGAGCUUGUUGUUUCUAAGGUAUGGAGCUUGUUGUGUCUAGGUCAUGGAGCUUGUUGUGUCUAGGGAAUGGAGCUUGUUGUGUCUAGGGAAUGGAGCUUGUUGUGUCUAGGUCAUGGAGCUUGUUGUGUCUAGGUCAUGGAGCUUGUUGUGUCUAGGGAAUGGAGCUUGUUGUGUCUAGGGAAUGGAGCUUGUUGCCUCCAGACCAUAAGAGUACUACUGUAAGCCGUUUUUGCAAGCCUGAGUUAGAUGCAGCAUACAGGGCUUUGUCUUUUGGUGGGACGAACAAAC